ACGGGAGGCGCAGCUAAGAAUAUUCCGCAAUGGACGAAAGUCUGACGGAGCGACGCCGCGUGGAUGAUGAAGGUCGGAAGAUUGUAAAAUCCUUUUAUAACUGAGGAAUAAGCCUUAUGAGAGAAACGUAAGGUGGCGACUGUAGGUUAUGAAUAAGCAACGGCUAAUCACGUGCCAGCAGCCGCGGUAACACGUAAGUUGCGAGCGUUGUUCGGAAUUAUUGGGCGUAAAGGGCAUGUAGGCGGUUUUGCAAGCUUGGUGUGAAAUCUCUGAGCUCAACUCCGAAAUUGCGUUGAGAACUGCAUAACUAGAGUCACUGAGGGGCAAUCAGAAUUCCAGGUGUAGGGGUGAAAUCUGUAGAUAUCUGGAAGAAUACCAAUGGCGAAGGCAGGUUGCCAGCAGAUGACUGACGCUGAGGCGCGAAGGUGCGGGGAGCAAACAGGAUUAGAUACCCUGGUA
Molecule: ribosomal RNA, 459 nt
Filed under: uncultured Treponema sp.
Lineage: Bacteria; Pseudomonadati; Spirochaetota; Spirochaetia; Treponematales; Treponemataceae
Description: partial 16S ribosomal RNA
Rfam family: Bacterial small subunit ribosomal RNA
Source: RNAcentral